Scleropages formosus (Asian bonytongue) is the source of this 82-nucleotide microRNA precursor. It matches the Rfam family "mir-132 microRNA precursor family". The record is from Rfam. NCBI's taxonomy places the organism in Eukaryota, Metazoa, Chordata, Actinopteri, Osteoglossiformes, Osteoglossidae.
CUCCAUGGUGACCGUGGCUUUAGAUUGUUACUGUAGCAACAGGAUCGCGGUAACAGUCUACAGCCAUGGUCGCUAGGGGGCA